Molecule: transfer RNA, 73 nt
Filed under: Pirellulaceae bacterium
Lineage: Bacteria; Pseudomonadati; Planctomycetota; Planctomycetia; Pirellulales; Pirellulaceae
Description: tRNA-Ala
Rfam family: tRNA
About the family: Transfer RNA (tRNA) molecules are approximately 80 nucleotides in length. Their secondary structure includes four short double-helical elements and three loops (D, anti-codon, and T loops). Further hydrogen bonds mediate the characteristic L-shaped molecular structure. tRNAs have two regions of fundamental functional importance: the anti-codon, which is responsible for specific mRNA codon recognition, and the 3' end, to which the tRNAs corresponding amino acid is attached (by aminoacyl-tRNA synthetases). tRNAs cope with the degeneracy of the genetic code in two manners: having more than one tRNA (with a specific anti-codon) for a particular amino acid; and 'wobble' base-pairing, i.e. permitting non-standard base-pairing at the 3rd anti-codon position.
Source: RNAcentral
GGGGCGGUAGCUCAGUUGGGAGAGCGCCGGCUUUGCAAGCCGGAGGUCGAGGGUUCAAGUCCCUUCCGCUCCA